UAGCUCAGUUGGUAGAGCAUGGUGUUUGCAACGCCAGGGUUGUGGGUUCAUUCCCCAC
Molecule: transfer RNA, 58 nt
Filed under: Salmo salar (Atlantic salmon)
Lineage: Eukaryota; Metazoa; Chordata; Actinopteri; Salmoniformes; Salmonidae
Rfam family: tRNA
About the family: Transfer RNA (tRNA) molecules are approximately 80 nucleotides in length. Their secondary structure includes four short double-helical elements and three loops (D, anti-codon, and T loops).
Source: Rfam by way of RNAcentral